GACGAACGCUGGCGGCGUGCUUAACACAUGCAAGUCGAGCGGUAAGGCCCUUUCGGGGGUACACGAGCGGCGAACGGGUGAGUAACACGUGGGUGACCUGCCCUUAGCUCUGGGAUAAGCCUGGGAAACUGGGUCUAAUACCGGAUAUGACUCCAUAACGCAUGUUGUGGGGUGAAAGCCUUGUGCGGCUAGGGAUGGGCCCGCGGCCUAUCAGCUUGUUGGUGGGGUGAUGGCCACCAAGGCGACGACGGGUAGCCGGCCUGAGAGGGCGACCGGCCACACUGGGACUGAGACACGGCCCAGACUCCUACGGGAGGCAGCAGUGGGGAAUCUUGCGCAAUGGGCGAAAGCCUGACGCAGCGACGCCGCGUGGGGAUGACGCCU
RNAcentral lists this ribosomal RNA (384 nucleotides) under uncultured bacterium. RNAcentral's name for it is "bacterial SSU rRNA". It matches the Rfam family "Bacterial small subunit ribosomal RNA", at positions 28 to 416 of the family's 1533-position model. The record is from RNAcentral.